AAUGCUUGGGAAUAUGCCUUAUGGUGGGGGACAACAGUUGGAAACGACUGCUAAUACCGCAUAACGUCUACGGACCAAAGGGGGGGAUUCAUUUAUGAACCACUCGCCAUUUGAUUAGCCCAAGUGAGAUUAGCUAGUUGGUGAGGUAAUGGCUCACCAAGGCGACGAUCUCUAGCUGGUUUGAGAGGAUGAUCAGCCACACUGGGACUGAGACACGGCCCAG
This 223-nucleotide ribosomal RNA is filed under the name uncultured bacterium. Its description in RNAcentral is "partial 16S ribosomal RNA". It matches the Rfam family "Bacterial small subunit ribosomal RNA", at positions 112 to 334 of the family's 1533-position model. The record is from RNAcentral.